AGGACGAACGCUGGCGGCGCGCCUAACACAUGCAAGUCGAGCGAGAACCAGGGCUUGCCCUGGGGACAGCGGCGAACGGGUGCGUAACACGUGAGCAACCUGCCCCAAAGACCGGGACAACCCGAGGAAACUCGGACUAAUACCGGAUGCCCUCACCGGGCCGCAUGGUCUGGUGAGGAAAUGGAUUCCGCUUUGGGAUGGGCUCGCGGUCUAUCAGCUUGUUGGUGGGGUAACGGCCUACCAAGGCGACGACGGAUAGGCUGGUCUGAGAGGACGAUCAGCCACACUGGGACUGAGACACGGCCCAGACUCCUACGGGAGGCAGCAGUGGGGAAUCUUGCGCAAUGGGGGAAACCCUGACGCAGCGACGCCGCGUGCGGGAUGAAGGCCUUCGGGUUGUAAACCGCUUUCAGCAGGGACGAAAUUGACGGUACCUGCAGAAGAAGGCCCGGCCAACUACGCGCCAGCAGCCGC
This 474-nucleotide ribosomal RNA is filed under the name uncultured bacterium. RNAcentral's name for it is "SSU rRNA". It matches the Rfam family "Bacterial small subunit ribosomal RNA", at positions 26 to 518 of the family's 1533-position model. The record is from RNAcentral.